RNAcentral lists this transfer RNA (104 nucleotides) under Zootermopsis nevadensis. RNAcentral's name for it is "tRNA-Tyr for anticodon GUA". It matches the Rfam family "tRNA". From Rfam's summary of the family: Transfer RNA (tRNA) molecules are approximately 80 nucleotides in length. Their secondary structure includes four short double-helical elements and three loops (D, anti-codon, and T loops). Further hydrogen bonds mediate the characteristic L-shaped molecular structure. tRNAs have two regions of fundamental functional importance: the anti-codon, which is responsible for specific mRNA codon recognition, and the 3' end, to which the tRNAs corresponding amino acid is attached (by aminoacyl-tRNA synthetases). tRNAs cope with the degeneracy of the genetic code in two manners: having more than one tRNA (with a specific anti-codon) for a particular amino acid; and 'wobble' base-pairing, i.e. permitting non-standard base-pairing at the 3rd anti-codon position. The record is from Rfam by way of RNAcentral. Lineage: Eukaryota; Metazoa; Arthropoda; Insecta; Blattodea; Termopsidae.
CCUCUGGUAGCUCAGUUGGUAGAGCGGUGGACUGUAGUAGUAACGGAGGAUAGAGACGAUAAGUUGUAAUCCAUAGGUCGCUGGUUCAAAUCCGGCCCGGAGGA